AGUGAACGCUGGCGGUAGGCCUAACACAUGCAAGUCGAACGGCAGCACGGUAAGAGCUUGCCCUUACGGGUGGCGAGUGGCGGACGGGUGAGGAAUACAUCGGAAUCUACUUUUUCGUGGGGGAUAACGUAGGGAAACUUACGCUAAUACCGCAUACGACCUACGGGUGAAAGCAGUGGAUCUUCGGACCUUUCGCGAUUGAAUGAGCCGAUGUCGGAUUAGCUAGUUGGCGGGGUAAAGGCACACCAAGGCGACGAUCCGUAGCUGGUCUGAGAGGAUGAUCAGCCACACUGGAACUGAGACACGGUCCAGACUCCUACGGGAGGCAGCAGUAGGGAAUAUUGGACAAUGGGCGCAAGCCUGAUCCAGCCAUACCGCGUGGGUGAAGAAGGCCUUCGGGUUGUAAAGCCCUUUUGUUGGGAAAGAAAAGCAGCAGGUUAAUACCCCGCUGUUCUGACGGUACCCAAAGAAUAAGCACCGGCUAACUUCGUG
This 492-nucleotide ribosomal RNA is filed under the name uncultured bacterium. RNAcentral's name for it is "partial 16S ribosomal RNA". It matches the Rfam family "Bacterial small subunit ribosomal RNA", at positions 29 to 507 of the family's 1533-position model. The record is from RNAcentral.